Molecule: ribosomal RNA, 497 nt
Filed under: uncultured bacterium
Lineage: Bacteria
Description: partial 16S ribosomal RNA
Rfam family: Bacterial small subunit ribosomal RNA
Source: RNAcentral
GAUGAACGCUGGCGGCGUGCCUAAUACAUGCAAGUCGAGCGAACAGACGAGGAGCUUGCUCCUCUGACGUUAGCGGCGGACGGGUGAGUAACACGUGGAUAACCUACCUAUAAGACUGGGAUAACUUCGGGAAACCGGAGCUAAUACCGGAUAAUAUAUUGAACCGCAUGGUUCAAUAGUGAAAGACGGUUUUGCUGUCACUUAUAGAUGGAUCCGCGCCGCAUUAGCUAGUUGGUAAGGUAACGGCUUACCAAGGCAACGAUGCGUAGCCGACCUGAGAGGGUGAUCGCCCACACUGGAACUGAGACACGGUCCAGACUCCUACGGGAGGCAGCAGUAGGGAAUCUUCCGCAAAGGGCGAAAGCUUGACGGAGCAACGCCGCGUGAGUGAUGAAGGUCUUCGGAUCGUAAAACUCUGUUAUUAGGGAAGAACAAAUGUGUAAGUAACUAUGCACGUCUUGACGGUACCUAAUCAGAAAGCCACGGCUAACUACGUG